GUUGACUGCAUUUUUUUAUGGAUCCAUCAAGAAUUUCCCUCCGUCCCUUCAAGCUUUCUGAUGUUGAUGACUUCCUGAAAUGGGCUGGUGAUGAGAAAGUAACCCGUUAUAUGAGAANNNNNAUCCCAUUACCUCUAGGGAAGAAGCAGCAGAGCAUAUUGCAAAGGUUGCCAUAGCCCAUCCAUGGCAUCGGUCUAUAUGCUUGGAUGAUCGUUCAAUUGGGUACAUUUCCGUCCGGCAAUUGUCAGGUGAUGAUAGAUGUAGAGGAAACAUGGGAUAUGCGAUAGCUGCAGAGUAUUGGGGACAAGGGAUAACCACAAUUGCAGUGAAGAUGGCUCUGUCUAGUGUGUUUCAAGAUUUUCCUGACUUGGUAAGGCUUGAGGUUUUUGUGCUGGAAGAGAACAAGGGAUCUCAAAGGGUAGUCGAGAAAGUAGGGUUUCUGAAAGAAGGUGUGUUGAGGAAAUAUUUAUAUUGUAAAGGUCAAGUUCGGGAUUUGAUUGUCUAUAGUUUUCUGUCAACCGAUAAGGUUUUGUAAUCCAUAAGUUCUAAACUAUAAUCUGUAAUUACAGUAUCUAAUCCAAUGAACAUGUGGUUAUGGUUUCCUUU
Molecule: unclassified non-coding RNA, 606 nt
Filed under: Hevea brasiliensis (rubber tree)
Lineage: Eukaryota; Viridiplantae; Streptophyta; Magnoliopsida; Malpighiales; Euphorbiaceae
Source: RNAcentral